This is a non-coding RNA of Prunus avium (sweet cherry), 619 nucleotides long. NCBI's taxonomy places the organism in Eukaryota, Viridiplantae, Streptophyta, Magnoliopsida, Rosales, Rosaceae. The record is from RefSeq and is a predicted model, not a curated record.
GACGGCUCUCUGUCUCGCCGGCGCUCUCUCGCUGGUUCGCUCGGUCUCGCGCUCUCUAUCCAUGAGAGCCUCCCUUCCUCCAUGGAUCCAUAGAGGUUGCAAAUGCAGAGCUCGAGGAAGCCAAGCGCAGCAAGGAAACUACUGAGCAAGAUCUUAAAGGAUACGAAGUUGAAUUGGCUAUGAAUGAAGCUACGAUUCAAACGCUAGAGUCAAGGAUUUCUCUGACUCAAGACGAGAUUUCCACAGUCGGAUCGGAUUUGGAUGCUCUUAAGAACCAAAAGGGGUUGAGAUCAACACUCAGAUAAGAAGAAGAUCCCAAACUAGUGAAGGAGGAGGUUACUGAAGGUGCUUUAGGAACACUUGAGGAUAUGCUUGCAGCUUGCUGGUGUAAUAUCUCAGACAACCCAAGUGGAAGAAGAAUGCAGAUCAGAACAGAACAUUCAAAAGCGUCAUUGAAACAUUACAAUUUUAUAAAAGCAUAGUUUUAGUGUUCAUGUUAGUAUUUCCCAGGAAGGCAACAUGAAAAUUACUGAAUUAUCUGGAACUUCUGCAGGUCCAGCAGUCGCUGAUAUCCUUUUCAAAAUCGCAUGAUUUAUUAUUCACUAGUGCAUCAUGGGUA